AUUGAACGCUGGCGGCAUGCUUUACACAUGCAAGUCGAACGGCAGCGCGGGCUUCGGCCUGGCGGCGAGUGGCGCACGGGUGAGUAAUGCAUCGGAACGUGCCCAGUAGUGGGGGAUAGCCCGUCGAAAGCCGGAUUAAUACCGCAUACGACCUGAGGGUGAAAGCGGGGGACCGAAAGGCCUCGCGCUAUUGGAGCGGCCGAUGCCGGAUUAGCUAGUUGGUGGGGUAAAGGCUUACCAAGGCGACGAUCCGUAGCUGGUCUGAGAGGACGACCAGCCACACUGGGACUGAGACACGGCCCAGACUCCUACGGGAGGCAGCAGUGGGGAAUUUUGGACAAUGGGGGCAACCCUGAUCCAGCUAUGCCGCGUGCGGGAAGAAGGCCUUCGGGUUGUAAACCGCUUUUGUUCGGGAAGAAAUCCUCUGGGCUAAUACCCCGGGGGGAUGACGGUACCGGAAGAAUAAGCACCGGCUAACUACGUG
This 484-nucleotide ribosomal RNA is filed under the name uncultured bacterium. RNAcentral describes it as "partial 16S ribosomal RNA". It matches the Rfam family "Bacterial small subunit ribosomal RNA", at positions 28 to 507 of the family's 1533-position model. The record is from RNAcentral.